RNAcentral lists this ribosomal RNA (402 nucleotides) under uncultured bacterium. Its description in RNAcentral is "bacterial SSU rRNA". It matches the Rfam family "Bacterial small subunit ribosomal RNA", at positions 355 to 774 of the family's 1533-position model. The record is from RNAcentral.
UGGGGAAUCUUGCACAAUGGAGGAAACUCUGAUGCAGCGACGCCGCGUGAGCGAAGAAGCCUUUCGGGGUGUAAAGCUCUUACGCCAGGGACGAUAAUGACGGUACCUGGAGAAGCAGCUGCGGCUAACUACGUGCCAGCAGCCGCGGUAAUACGUAGGCAGCAAGCGUUGUUCGGAAUUACUGGGCGUAAAGGGUGCGUAGGCGGCGCUUUAAGUUUGGUGUGAAAUCUCCCGGCUUAACUGGGAGGGUGCACUGAAAACUGGGGCGCUCGAGUAUGGGAGAGGAAAGCGGAAUUCCUGGUGUAGCGGUGAAAUGCGUAGAGAUCAGGAGGAACACCUGCGGUGCAGACGGCUUUCUGGACCAUCACUGACGCUGAGGCACGAAAGCGUGGGUAGCAAACA